RNAcentral lists this ribosomal RNA (425 nucleotides) under uncultured bacterium. Its description in RNAcentral is "partial 16S ribosomal RNA". It matches the Rfam family "Bacterial small subunit ribosomal RNA", at positions 354 to 796 of the family's 1533-position model. The record is from RNAcentral.
GUGGGGAAUCUUGCGCAAUGGGCGAAAGCCUGACGCAGCCAUGCCGCGUGAAUGAUGAAGGUCUUAGGAUUGUAAAAUUCUUUCACCGGGGACGAUAAUGACGGUACCCGGAGAAGAAGCUCCGGCUAACUUCGUGCCAGCAGCCGCGGUAAUACGAAGGGGGCUAGCGUUGCUCGGAAUUACUGGGCGUAAAGGGCGCGUAGGCGGACAGCUUAGUCAGAGGUGAAAGCCCAGGGCUCAACCUUGGAAUUGCCUUUGAUACUGGCUGUCUUGAGUUUGGGGGAGGUGAGUGGAACUCCGAGUGUAGAGGUGAAAUUCGUAGAUAUUCGGAGGAACACCAGUGGCGAAGGCGGCUCACUGGCUCGAUACUGACGCUGAGGUGCGAAAGCGUGGGGAGCAAACAGGAUUAGAUACCCUAGUAGUCC